Molecule: ribosomal RNA, 430 nt
Filed under: uncultured bacterium
Lineage: Bacteria
Description: bacterial SSU rRNA
Rfam family: Bacterial small subunit ribosomal RNA
Source: RNAcentral
AUUGAACGCUGGCGGCAUGCCUUACACAUGCAAGUCGAACGGCAGCACGGGAGCAAUCCUGGUGGCGAGUGGCGAACGGGUGAGUAAUAUAUCGGAACGUGCCCAGUAGUGGGGGAUAGCCCGGCGAAAGCCGGAUUAAUACCGCAUACGACCUGAGGGUGAAAGCGGGGGAUCGCAAGACCUCGCGCUAUUGGAGCGGCCGAUAUCAGAUUAGCUAGUUGGUGGGGUAAAGGCCUACCAAGGCUACGAUCUGUAGUUGGUCUGAGAGGACGACCAGCCACACUGGGACUGAGACACGGCCCAGACUCCUACGGGAGGCAGCAGUGGGGAAUUUUGGACAAUGGGCGCAAGCCUGAUCCAGCAAUGCCGCGUGCAGGAAGAAGGCCUCGGUUGUAACGUAGUACUUUGUUCUAGGAAGGAAAGUACUUAC